Molecule: long non-coding RNA, 129 nt
Organism: Hibiscus syriacus
Lineage: Eukaryota; Viridiplantae; Streptophyta; Magnoliopsida; Malvales; Malvaceae
Exons: 4
Source: RefSeq, a predicted model, not a curated record
AAGAGUAAAGAAAUAAGAAUAAUAUAGAAAAGGGGGAUUUGAUUCACAAUUUACAUGAAAAAAAGAGAGGAAAACAUUGUUAUGAACUUCAUAUGUUUUCCUUUUGUACAGAUUCCAUAAGGAAAUAAA